Molecule: transfer RNA, 81 nt
Filed under: Rhizoclosmatium globosum
Lineage: Eukaryota; Fungi; Chytridiomycota; Chytridiomycetes; Chytridiales; Chytriomycetaceae
Rfam family: tRNA
About the family: Transfer RNA (tRNA) molecules are approximately 80 nucleotides in length. Their secondary structure includes four short double-helical elements and three loops (D, anti-codon, and T loops).
Source: Rfam by way of RNAcentral
GACAACGUGGCCGAGCGGUUAAGGCGAUAGACUAGAAAUCUAUUACUCUCUGAGUGCGCAGGUCAAGUCCUGCCGUUGUCG